GAUCCUGGCUCAGGAUGAACGCUAGCUACAGGCUUAACACAUGCAAGUCGAGGGGAAACGACAUCGAAAGCUUGCUUUGAUGGGCGUCGACCGGCGCACGGGUGAGUAACGCGUAUCCAACCUGCCCACCACUUGGGGAUAACCUUGCGAAAGUAAGACUAAUACCCAAUGACGUCUCUAGAAGACAUCUGAAAGAGAUUAAAGAUUUAUCGGUGAUGGAUGGGGAUGCGUCUGAUUAGCUUGUUGGCGGGGUAACGGCCCACCAAGGCGACGAUCAGUAGGGGUUCUGAGAGGAAGGUCCCCCACAUUGGAACUGAGACACGGUCCAAACUCCUACGGGAGGCAGCAGUGAGGAAUAUUGGUCAAUGGGCGAGAGCCUGAACCAGCCAAGUAGCGUGCAGGAUGACGGCCCUAUGGGUUGUAAACUGCUUUUAUAGGGGAAUAAAGUGAGCCACGUGUGGUUUUUGCAUGUACCCUAUGAAUAAGGACCGGCUAAUUCCGUG
RNAcentral lists this ribosomal RNA (503 nucleotides) under uncultured bacterium. Its description in RNAcentral is "bacterial SSU rRNA". It matches the Rfam family "Bacterial small subunit ribosomal RNA", at positions 15 to 507 of the family's 1533-position model. The record is from RNAcentral.